Molecule: ribosomal RNA, 253 nt
Filed under: uncultured bacterium
Lineage: Bacteria
Description: partial 16S ribosomal RNA
Rfam family: Bacterial small subunit ribosomal RNA
Source: RNAcentral
UGCGGAGGAUGCGAGCGUUAUCCGGAUUUAUUGGGUUUAAAGGGUGCGUAGGCGGUUUGAUAAGUUAGAGGUGAAAUGUCGGGGCUCAACCCCGAAACUGCCUCUAAUACUGUUGGACUAGAGAAUAGUUGCGGUAGGCGGAAUGUAUGGUGUAGCGGUGAAAUGCUUAGAGAUCAUACAGAACACCGAUUGCGAAGGCAGCUUACCAAACUAUAUCUGACGUUGAGGCACGAAAGCGUGGGUAGCAAACAGG